This 422-nucleotide ribosomal RNA is filed under the name uncultured bacterium. Its description in RNAcentral is "bacterial SSU rRNA". It matches the Rfam family "Bacterial small subunit ribosomal RNA", at positions 355 to 793 of the family's 1533-position model. The record is from RNAcentral.
UGGGGAAGUAUUGGACAAUGGGCGAAAGCCUGAUCCAGCCAUGCCGCGUGAGUGACGAAGGCCUUAGGGUUGUAAAGCUCUUUUGGCGGGGAAGAUAAUGACGGUACCCGCAGAAUAAGCUCCGGCUAACUUCGUGCCAGCAGCCGCGGUAAUACGAAGGGAGCUAGCGUUGUUCGGAAUCACUGGGCGUAAAGCGCACGUAGGCGGAUUGUUUAGUCAGGGGUGAAAUCCCGGAGCUCAACUUCGGAACUGCCUUUGAUACUGGCAAUCUCGAGUCCGAUAGAGGUGGGUGGAAUUCCUAGUGUAGAGGUGAAAUUCGUAGAUAUUAGGAAGAACACCGGUGGCGAAGGCGGCCCACUGGAUCGGUACUGACGCUGAGGUGCGAAAGCGUGGGGAGCAAACAGGAUUAGAUACCCUAGUAG